CAAUAGCGUAUAUUAAAGUUGUUGCGGUUAAAAGCUCGUAGUUGGAGUUCUGCCAGGUGCCGCCUGUCCGCCCCAGUGGUGAGUACGUGGCGCGCAUUUGGCCCUUUCAAGGGGAGCGUAUCUGCACUUUAUUGUGUGGUGCGGGAUCCUUGACUUUUACUUUGAAGAAAUGAGAGUGUUUCAAGCAGGCAUGCGCCGUGAAUACGUUAGCAUGGGAUAAUAGCAUCGGACCUCGUUCCAAAGCUGUUGGUUUCUUGGACCGAGGUAAAGGUGAAUAGGGAUUGUUGGGGGCAUUCGUAUUUGACUGUCAGAGGUGAAAUUCUUGGAUUUGUUGAAGACGGACUACUGCGAAAGCAUCUGCCAAAGAUGUUCUCAUUGAUCAAGAACGAAAGUUAGGUGAUCGAAGACGAUCAGAUACCAU
RNAcentral lists this ribosomal RNA (421 nucleotides) under uncultured eukaryote. RNAcentral's name for it is "bacterial SSU rRNA". It matches the Rfam family "Eukaryotic small subunit ribosomal RNA", at positions 592 to 1018 of the family's 1831-position model. The record is from RNAcentral.